RNAcentral lists this long non-coding RNA (1151 nucleotides) under Mus pahari (shrew mouse). Its description in RNAcentral is "predicted gene, 37751 (MGP_PahariEiJ_G0002685.1)". Lineage: Eukaryota; Metazoa; Chordata; Mammalia; Rodentia; Muridae. The record is from RNAcentral.
AGGCUGUCAAUAUACAAUUGUUGAGUGAAUGAUGGUAAAUACUGAAUGUCUCUCUAAAGACAAUAGUCAUGCACAUAGCUAUGGAGGCAUAAUAAUGUAAGUGAGGAAGAAAUUUUUAAUUGUGAUUUCUGAAUAUAUUCUUUCCAAAUGUAUAAUCCUAUAAGGUUUAUGUCACAUAUAGAGAAAGUUGGAAUGUUAUUUUUUAACAUUAUUAUUCCAAAAUUAUUCUUUGGUUAUUCUUACCCAAAGACUGUGUGCCAUAAUAUUAAUAUUUGGAAAGUUGCAGAAACAGACUUUAGGCUUAUGUCUUCGAAUGCUCUAAGCAACAAUUUUUCAUAGAAUAUUUUACAUUUCUCCCUUUCCUUUCCUCCUUCUAAACUUUCUUAUAUACCCUCCCUUGUUCUGUUUUAGAUUUAUGGCUUAUUUUCCUUUAUUUUUGUGUGUGUGCGUGCGUGUGUGUGUGUGUGUGUGUGUGUGUGCACCUAAAUACAACCUGCUGAGUAUAUAUAAUGUUAUUUGUGUAUAUGUUUUCAGGACUCACCAUUUGGUAUUGAAUAACCAAUUGGUGUGCUCUUCCCUGGGGAAAACUGUAACUCCUGCUCUCAGCAUUCCUUGGUUGUCCUGUAGUUCUGGUCUAGGGUUGAGAUCUCCUGAACUUACUUACUUCCAUGUUAGCACAUCUAUUGGUGUUGUACUUUUACAGAAGAGAUUUUAAGGGACUUUUCAGUAUGGGGGUUUUGGGGGGGAUGUUUAUCCAACAAGAUUCACUCACUUAAUUCUUAUGUAACUUCAGAAUUUAAUGUAAGAAGUAAAACAUUAUGUUAGAGGCUGUGGAGAUGGCUCAGUGGAUAAAAUGUGUGUUGUGCAAGCUUGAGAACCUGACUUCAGAUCCUUAGUAUAUGCAUACCCGACAGUCUAGCCAAAAGAAUGAGCUACCUGACUCAAAACAAAAUGAACAGAAUAAUUGAGGAAGAUAACUAUCAUUAACUACUGACCUCCACACCUACAUGCACAGGUGACUAUACCCAUACAUUCACAUAUAUCUCUGUGUGAAUAUCACUCACUCACUCACUCUAUCUAUCUAUCUCUCUAUCUAUCACAUGCACACACAAAGAAACACUCACAAAUUUAACAAGAUUUUGAUUAAAUGG